This 228-nucleotide ribosomal RNA is filed under the name uncultured bacterium. Its description in RNAcentral is "partial 16S ribosomal RNA". It matches the Rfam family "Bacterial small subunit ribosomal RNA", at positions 103 to 334 of the family's 1533-position model. The record is from RNAcentral.
CGGGUGAGUAUAAAGUAGGGAUCUGCCUUGUAGACGGGGAUAACUUGGGGAAACUCGAGCUAAUACCGGAUAAGCACUAAGGUGGAAAGCAUGGGACCGAAAGGCCAUGCGCUAUAAGAUGAACCUACGUCGGAUUAGCUAGUUGGUUGGGUAAAGGCUGACCAAGGCGAAGAUCCGUAGCUGGUCUGAGAGGAUGAUCAGCCACACUGGGACUGAGACACGGCCCAG